This 630-nucleotide ribosomal RNA is filed under the name uncultured Bacillus sp. Its description in RNAcentral is "partial 16S ribosomal RNA". It matches the Rfam family "Bacterial small subunit ribosomal RNA", at positions 1 to 532 of the family's 1533-position model. The record is from RNAcentral. Lineage: Bacteria; Bacillati; Bacillota; Bacilli; Caryophanales; Bacillaceae.
GCCCUCUAGAUGCAUGCUCGAGCGGCCGCCAGUGUGAUGGAUAUCUGCAGAAUUCGCCCUUGGAGUCCGAGCCUGGAUCUCGGCGAACGCUAAUAAUUUGCUUUACACUUGCGAGUUGUGCUUUAACAUAUUAAAAUAUCGCAGCGAACGGGUGAGGAAUACUCACUUAUUUUUGUCUGCCUUUUAAUUUGAGAUAAACUAUAUCUACUAUACAUUUUGAUUUUUUUAAUGGCAAAACUAUGUUUUUCCUUUGUCGUGCUAUUAAAUAAUUUUUUAGUUUUCAACUGAACGACUAAAAAAAGAAAAAUUAAAAACUAGGUAAUUGUUAAAAGAUGAGUUUGGGGAAGAUUAGGUUGCCGGUCCAAAUAAUAGUUUACCAAGCCUUUGAUCUUCUCACGGUCUUUUAGGACAUACAUCCACACUGGAACUGAUACAAGGUCCAGGCUAAUUUUUUGGCCAAAUUAAAAGAAUAUUGGACAAUGAACGAAAGUUUGAUCCUUAAAUAUUAUGUGAAUGAUUGACGACUACAUUUUUGGACGACAAUUCUUUCCACCUGAUGAUAAUGACCUUAUUUAAAGAACUUUUAUCCCCGGCUAAUCUCUUGCCAGCUUCCGCGGUUAUACCAAUAUG